CUCUCUCAGAGCUAGGUUGAAAUCUCAGAUUGGGAUUUCAUUAACUAACAGAGUUCAACUAACCCUUUCUACUUCUUCUUGACUUGAAGUGAGUUCAACUAACCCUUUCUUCUUCUUCUUCACUUGAAGUGAAUCCAAACAAUGUUGUUAUCAUCAUCAACACUAAUCGAAUACAAAAACCUCGCAUUUCAAAUCGGAUUAUCAAUCCUUCUAACUCUAAUCCUCACAAUGCUUCAACUCCCAAUCCGAUUUCUCGAAGGUCUUAAUACUAAAUCUGGGUUUCGUCCAGCAAUCCGCAGACCAAGUGAUAACAACACUUCUGUUGAAGGCUAUCAAAAUUUAGAUAUUUAGUAGUGUUUCCGUUUCUUGCAGCAUUGGUUCUUCUGUUUCUUGGACUAUUGCAAAUUGAAGAAGAAGACACUACUAAUGUCGCGUCAACUCUGACGAGUCUCCUUGGUGACGUUGCUGUUGUGGCCAAUUCCUGUCAGGAUAUUGCAACGAUGAACGGUUGAAGUUGUGAUCUUUUUACCCUUAAGUUAGGAGUAGGUGGACAAAAUUGGACUCUAUGAGAUAGUGAGUUGUUCUUAUGAAGGAUUCUCUUGUAGACUCUGCUCAUUUCCUGAAACUUCCACGCAAUUAUACAUCCCAUCUUUGGAAUUUUUGGAUGGGAACAAUUUCUGAAAACCAUUAUAUUGCGCGACAAAUAUAUACAACUGCAUCAGAGGCAAGUGAAACAACAAUAAGUAACUCGUUGCAGUUUAUAUGAGCACUACGAGCUCAAGCUCUCAACGCUAAGUACUUUCCUUACCAUGAUUUAAAGCAAGAACCCCCUCAUCACUGCAGAAACUCUAGCUGGAUACGGCAAAGCAUCAAACAUGGUCUUCAGAUCAUUUUUACUUAUGUGGGGCACAAAAGUUAAUAUUUAGACACACAGCUGAUACUUACAUUGGAGACUCCACUACAAGCUUGGGAUGAUCUGCAUCUACCAAGGGGUGACCCAGCUCAUUGAUCAUAAGACUGCUUGAUGGAACAUACCACUGCUUAGGGAUGUCUCCACACCACUAGAAGUUGCUUUCGUUUACACCAUCCUCUGCAAAUAAAUCAACCAGAUAAUCUUAUUUCACUACAAGCUCCAUUUAUCAGCAACUUUGCAAGCAACACCAGCCUAACCCAAUGCCAACUAAUUUUAUAACAUCCUUUUGGCUCAAGUUUUGGGAGCUUAAAGUCCCCCUACAAGCUUCAGAUAAUUCUCUGGAAAGUUCUGUUAAACAUUCUUCCAGUUAAGGCCAAGCUAUUCCGUACAACUAUCAUCUCUCAGACCUGUGUUUUGUGUAACUCUCAGCAUCCAUUUGAUCUGGAUCAUCUUUUCCUGCAGUGGAGCUUUGUAAAAGGUUUCUGGAAUGCUAGUCCUUCUUGGAGCAUCCCUCUCAUCAACAUAUGCAAUCUUGGAUGGCUACUUGGCAUCUGGCAGAGGCUAUGCCGUGGGUUCCUCAGCAGGGGUGGACUUGUGUUGUCUUUGAAACUGCUAAUACAGAUAUUAAGUAGCCAUCACUGUCAACAUCUCAAUCCCACUUGUGGCAGAUACUCAUGGAUUCCUUCUGGUGCUGGAGCUAGCCCACCGAGUCGAAGCCCACAACAUCAUUGUAGAAGGAGAGUGUCAACAAGUUUGCUUCAUACUGCAGGAAAAACAAAGAGCAUGCCUUGGAGAAUCACUCACCUUAUUAACGAAAUUGGCGCAAAGGCCCUUGAACUCAGUAGAGUUCUCUUUUGUUCUGGAACGAGCCAACACUCUGGCUCAUGAUCUAGCAUAUUAUGCUAAAGGGCACGUCCAAGCUUAGUGGACUGCUAGGUCCCUUCUUUUUACCCCGGAGCAUAACUGCUUCAAUUUUUGUUUUUCUGUUUCUUUGCUUUUUGUUUUAGUUUCCUUGGUUUUGUGUUUUUCUGCUCCAAGCAGAGUCCAAAAAGAAAAACAUGCAAUG
Papaver somniferum (opium poppy) is the source of this 1979-nucleotide long non-coding RNA. RefSeq lists it as uncharacterized. NCBI's taxonomy places the organism in Eukaryota, Viridiplantae, Streptophyta, Magnoliopsida, Ranunculales, Papaveraceae. The record is from RefSeq and is a predicted model, not a curated record. The transcript is spliced from 3 exons.